GACGAACCGUCCAAACGUUAUUCGGAAUUACUGGGCUUAAAGGGCGCGCAGGCGGCCAUGUGUGUGAGGCGUGAAAGCCCGGGGCUUAACCCCGGAAUUGCACCUCAAACUACAUGGCUAGAGCAUUGGAGAGGGUAGCAGAAUUCAUGGUGUAGCAGUGAAAUGCGUAGAUAUCAUGAGGAAUACCAGAGGCGAAGGCGGCUACCUGGACAAUUGCUGACGCUCAGGCACGAAAGCGUGGGGAGCAAAAGGG
This 253-nucleotide ribosomal RNA is filed under the name uncultured bacterium. Its description in RNAcentral is "partial 16S ribosomal RNA". It matches the Rfam family "Bacterial small subunit ribosomal RNA", at positions 524 to 776 of the family's 1533-position model. The record is from RNAcentral.